AGCGAACGCUGGCGGCAGGCCUAAUACAUGCAAGUCGAACAGCUCUUCGGAGCAGUGGCGGACGGGUGAGUAACACGUGGGAACGUGCCCUUUGGUACGGAACAACUGAGGGAAACUUCAGCUAAUACCGUAUGUGGCCGCAUUCUUAGCGGGAUGGGUGGGCAAGAUUUAUCGCCAUUGGAGCGGCCCGCGUUGGAUUAGCUAGUUGGUGGGGUAAAGGCCCACCAGGGCUACGAUCCAUAGCUGGUCUGAGAGGAUGAUCAGCCACACUGGGACUGAGACACGGCCCAGACUCCUACGGGAGGCAGCAGUAGGGAAUCUUGCGCAAUGGGCGAAAGCCUGACGCAGCCAUGCCGCGUGAAUGAUGAAGGUCUUAGGAUUGUAAAAUCCUUUCACCGGGGAAGAUAAUGACGGUACCCGGAGAAGAAGCCCCGGCUAACUUCGUGCCAGCCGCCGCCGUAA
RNAcentral lists this ribosomal RNA (462 nucleotides) under uncultured bacterium. RNAcentral's name for it is "partial 16S ribosomal RNA". It matches the Rfam family "Bacterial small subunit ribosomal RNA", at positions 29 to 523 of the family's 1533-position model. The record is from RNAcentral.